CCUACGGGUGGCUGCAGUGAGGAAUCUUCCACAAUGGGCGAAAGCCUGAUGGAGCAACGCCGCGUGAAGGAUGAAGGCCUUCGGGUUGUAAACUUCUUUUAUGAGUGAAGAAUAUGACGGUAACUCAUGAAUAAGCACCGGCUAACUACGUGCCAGCAGCCGCGGUCAUACGUAGGGUGCAAGCAUUAUCCGGAGUGACUGGGCGUAAAGAGUUGCGUAGGCGGUUUAAUAAGUGAAUAGUGAAACCUGGUGGCUCAACCAUACAGACUAUUAUUCAAACUGUUAAACUCGAGAAUGGUAGAGGUAACUGGAAUUUCUAGUGUAGGAGUGAAAUCCGUAGAUAUUAGAAGGAACACCGAUGGCGUAGGCAGGUUACUGGGCCAUUUCUGACGCUAAGGCACGAAAGCGUGGGGAGCGAACCGGAUUAGAUACCCCAGUAG
This 440-nucleotide ribosomal RNA is filed under the name uncultured bacterium. RNAcentral's name for it is "bacterial SSU rRNA". It matches the Rfam family "Bacterial small subunit ribosomal RNA", at positions 338 to 793 of the family's 1533-position model. The record is from RNAcentral.